RNAcentral lists this ribosomal RNA (494 nucleotides) under uncultured bacterium. Its description in RNAcentral is "partial 16S ribosomal RNA". It matches the Rfam family "Bacterial small subunit ribosomal RNA", at positions 28 to 507 of the family's 1533-position model. The record is from RNAcentral.
GACGAACGCUGGCGGCGUGCUUAACACAUGCAAGUCGAACGGUGAAGCGCCUUCCUUUUUGGUGGGUGUGGAUGAGUGGCGAACGGGUGAGUAACACGUGAGUAACCUGCCCCCUUCUUCUGGAUAACCGCAUGAAAGUGUGGCUAAUACGGGAUAUUCUGGGUCUGUCGCAUGAUGGGUCUGGGAAAGAUAUUGUUUCGGUGGGGGAUGGGCUCGCGGCCUAUCAGCUUGUUGGUGGGGUGAUGGCCUACCAAGGCGGUGACGGGUAGCCGGCCUGAGAGGGUGGACGGUCACACUGGGACUGAGACACGGCCAAGACUCCUACGGGAGGCAGCAGUGGGGAAUAUUGCACAAUGGGCGAAAGCCUGAUGCAGCGACGCCGCGUGAGGGAUGGAGGCCUUCGGGUUGUGAACCUCUUUCGCCAGUGAAGCAGGCCUGCCUCGUUUGUGGGUGGGUUGACGGUAGCUGGAUAAGAAGCGCCGGCUAACUACGUG